Sciurus carolinensis (gray squirrel) is the source of this 6080-nucleotide long non-coding RNA. RefSeq lists it as uncharacterized. NCBI's taxonomy places the organism in Eukaryota, Metazoa, Chordata, Mammalia, Rodentia, Sciuridae. The record is from RefSeq and is a predicted model, not a curated record. The transcript has 2 exons.
GUGGCCUGCAUUGAAAUAUUUUGAAAGGUAAGUUGAAGUACUAAACCAGUCUUUCAGAUUGUACUACAACAAGCCUGAGACAGAUGGUGAUUCAAGAAAUAAGACUUUUAAAGAAGAGAAAUUCUUGUGCAAAGAAAACAGCAGAGCAAAUAAUCUUUGCAUUAAGAAGAUGUGAGUCAAGGUUAUACUGGUUUAGAAAAACUAGUUAUAUGCCUAAGACUCUGCAGUUGUUUCCAACCUAUACCUGGUUUACUGCAGUCAGUAAGAAGACUCACAAAACGGCAGGGACAAAAACUUCCAGAUUGAUGCUUGACCAAAUACUGGUACUGCAGUCUAACCAUGUAGCCCAUAAAAUUAACCCAUCAAAAUUUUUCACUCCUGGUUUGUUUGGCUGCAUUCAACUGAGAUCUACUGAGGGAGAACCACUGUUUCUGCAGCUGAAUACUGCUGGAAGUUUGUGUUGCACACUGUGGUUGCUUUUACUUUUUUGUAUCAGCAGAUACAGAAGCUAGUGAGAAUCUAGCUCAUCUGUUCUUUAGCUACCAACUUUUUCCUUCCUUAGUGUAUACAUUUCUCUCUGAACUCUUAACUUACAGCCUUAUACACUGAUUUUGUUUACAGAUUACCUUUUGAAAAAAAAGGACUUAAAUUACACAGAAGCAGCACUUAGGGUUUAAAAAAUACACUUAAAAAUAUUUGACUAAAAGCCAUCUGAGGUUUAAAAACAGUAGCAACAAAAAGUAUUUUGGAAGAAAAUUUUAGAAGUUCAAAGUAAGUAUUUUGGACAUGAUUUGGAGAUAGGCAUUUACUUUAUACUCUAUUGCUGUCCAAGUUUUUAAUAAUAUAUAUUACAUUUUACUUUCUGGGGUAUUUAUUCAUUAUUAUUCUUGAAAAUUGCAAUUAUUGGUUGAUUAUUAACUCUGAUUAUAACCUUGCCGAGGCCAAGGUCAUGGGCUUAAUUCUCAAUUGGACCACUUAGUGCCACUUGCCUUGGGGCCUAUAGAACCAAUCCCAGGCUGUCUGUAGUCAUUGUGCACAUGGAUGUUAAUUGGAGGCACUCUAAAAGAAUAGAUAGACAUAUGCAAAUCUGUAGUUAUUGAGACUCAAUCAGAAGUUCAUACAGCCUAUUCACAGUGAUUCAGUAAUAUACACAAAAGCACACUGAAAACAAAUGCUUUUAAAGUUGAUUAUCAAUUAUUUGUUCUUUCCCCCUCAAAAAAACAAAAGGAAAGGGAAAUUCUAACAAAAAUGUCCUUUUAUAUUCUUUCUCUUAGAUAUUCUAAUAAUUUCUCUAUCAUUUUAUAUGUUUUUUUCAGAAUAACCUUUUAAUUUUAGUUCCAAAAUCAUGUCUCAAAUUUUGCUUCUGGUUUUCUGCUCCUCCCUAUUUGACAGACAGACACGUUUUCUUGUGUAGUGCCAGUCAUAUCACUGAGACACAUGGUGAAGUUUAGAGUAAACAGAUAAGGUAAUAUUGGAUACCUAGGCAACAGGGCUGCUUUCAACUCUUGCAAAGUCGUAUUGUCACCAUCAAGGAUCCCUUCACUAACCUUAAGUACAUGGUCUACAUGUUCCAGUAUGAUUUGAUUCAUGGCAAGUUAAAUAGCACAGUCAAAGCUGAGAAAUGAGAAGCUUGUCAUCAGGAAAGCCCAUCUCCAUUUUCUAGAAGCGAGACCCUAUCAAACAGAGUGAUCCUGGUGCUGAAUAUGUUGUGUGGAGUCCACUGAUAUCUUUGCUACCAUGGAGAAGACCAGGGUUCAUUUGAAGUGUGGAGCUAAAAAGAUCAUUCUCCCUGCCCCUUCUGAGGAUGCCCCCAUGUUUGUGAUGGUGUGAAUCAUGAUAAAUUCAACAACUCCCACAAGACUGUCAGCAAUCAAGGUUGUCUUGCACUACCAACUACUUAGCCUCCUUGACCAAGUUCAUCCAUGACAACUUUGGCAUUGUGGAGGGACUUGUGACCACAGUCUAUGCUAUUACUGCCACCCACAGAACCAUGGACGGCCCUUCUGAGAAACUGUAUUGUGAUAGCUGUGGAGUUGCCAAGAUCACUAUUCCUUUGUCCACUGGUAUAGCCAAACCUAUGGAUAAGGUCAUUUCUGAACCUAAUGGGAAGCUCACAGGCCUAACCUUCUGUGUGCCCAUGUACAAUGUAUCUGUUAUGGAUCUGAGCUGCCAUCUGGAGAAAGCUGCUAAAUAUGAUGACAUUAAGAAGGUGGUGAAUCUGGCAUUAGAGGGCCCCCCCAAAGAACAUCUUGGGCUAUACCAAGGAGCAGGUUGUCUUCUGUGACAUCUAUGCUUCCACAUUCAGUGCUGGACCUUGCAUGGCUCUCAGUGACCACUUUGUCAAGCUCAUAUCCUCAGAUGACAUUGCAUUUGUCCACAGUGGCAGGAUGGCUAACCUUAUGGUCUAUCUCCAAGAAGUAAGAGCCCUGGACCACCAGCUUCAGCAAGAACAUGAAAGGAAGAGUCCUUCAGUUGCUGGGGCAUCCCUGUCCCAGUUCAGUCCCCCAACACACCAAGAAUCUCCCCACUUUGAUUGUCAUUCCAGACCCUCUGAAGACGGGAGGGGUUUCGGGAGCUGUAGUUUGUCACAUACCAUCAAUGAAAAUCUACUGCACCCAGCUGCCCCACCUCCUUCCAUUUUUUGUUUUUUACUUCUGGACACCUUCAAUCAGACAGGCAAGAUGUCUGAAGGAACAUGGAAAUAAAUAUAAUUUUUAUAUUGUGCUUCUAGAACAUUUUAGAUUAGGUCAUAAUUUUGGAAAACUUUGAGAUAUCUGACACCCAAGUAAUUGAAUUUCUCAUUAUUCAUUUUACUUCUUCUUUUUCUUUUAACAAUGAUUUCAAAGUAUGAUUAGUGUUCUGAUAAGUGGUUGGGAAACUUUUGGUUUGAUGUUAAAAAAUUUCAGUUAUGUGAUAAAUAACUUAAGAUCAUUUGGCUGGUGUAAUUAUGAAAUGGCAAGAUGGAUAAUUGUUGGAUACUUCAGUUUUAGCUUGUACUUUAAGAGCAGUUUUUAGAAUAGGCCACCCAUUAUUUGUUGCUUCCUGUUUGUCCGUGGAUAACUCAUUGCAAUAGAGACACCUCAGGCUUUAAGGGUUUGAACUAAGUGUUCUUUAUCAGUACUACUGUUUCAACUAAUCUCUUACCAAUUUUCUGACAGGGAUGUCUGUUCAGAUAUUAUUAAGGUCAGAUGAGAAAGAGCACAGAACAGUUCAUUUGUUGUUGAAAACUGAGCUCUAAAAAAUAUGGCAUUCUCUAACACGGUUUGCCAUUUCUCAGCAUUUAGACAGUUCUUAUUCCUUCUCAUUUCAAUGAAACAGCUGAUGGAAGGGAAUUUGUAAAAAUUUUGUGUCAGAAAUUGGUAGAUUGGAUCCGUAAGCCUUAAGUAAUGAUUUUCAUAGAUUCACAGGUUGGCAAAGUGGAUAGCAUCACACUCUUGUCUUUUGUAACUACUUUCAUUUUAUGUUGCUUUUUCUUUUUUCAUUUUUAAGUCUUUCCUCAUAUUGUUUUAAAAAAUUAAAAGUAUGUUUAGUUAUUGUUUAGUUUGCUUUCUGUUACUAUAACUGAAUGCCAUAGACUGGGUAAUUUGUAAAGAAAAGAAGUUUAUUAAGCUUAUGAUUCUGGAGGCUAAAAAUGUCCAGGCAUCUUGUGGGGACCUCCUUCCUGCAUCAUAACAUGGAAUAGAAUAUCACAUGAGACAAAGCAAGCAAACCAGGGAGAUGGCUUUUAUUAUUUAUUUUGGGUGCUGGGGAUCGAACCCAGGGCCUUGUGCUUACAAGGCAAGCACUCUACCGACUGAGCUAUCUCCCCAGCCCUGAGAGAUGGCUUUUAUAACAAAGCUACUCCUGAGAUAAGCUAUUAAUCUAUGAAUGAGUUGAUCCCAUUCACCUCCUAAUCAUCUCCCAAACGUCUCACCUUUCAAAUACCAUUAACAUAUGACUUUGUGAGUAUUAAGUUUCUAACACAUGAAAUCUGGGGGACACAUUUGAACCAUAAUAAUUUUAUAAGUAAUUCUUUCUGUAAAAGAAAAAAAAUCAGACAUUAUAAAUAAGGUCCAAGUCCCCUCUACCCACUCACAAUCCCUAGUGGUUUUUCCAGUGGUUUUCACAGUUGUUGACAGUUGAUGGGUCUUCUUCCAACUCUCUUUAGGCAUUCAUAUACAUGUAUAUAUGGUAUACUUACAUAGAUAUAUGUAUAUACAUAUGAAUAUACAGUUAAAAUGUGUCAUAUUGUCCUUGUUUCUAUUUUAGAUCUUUUCGUGAUCAGAAUAGCUAUUAGUUGGGUUUUUGCUACAGUUGGUUAAAUUUAUCUGUAGGCUUUUUCACAUUCCAGACUCCCUUUUCCUUAUCAGGUUCCCACACAUUUCUACGAUAACGCUUCACAUUUUCUUUUUAUUUUGGCCCCACAAUAUAGCCCAUUGUGAUAGCACACUUGUAACUCUCAAAUAGUUCAUCUUAUCACCAAAUAUGUUCUAAUCUCAGUUAGGAAAUUAGUGAUGAUUCAAACAAAAUUGGCUAGGAAAAAUGACGUUUUUUUUUUUUUUUUUCUAUUCCAUUCCCAGUUUGGUGACCAUCAUGACAGUGUUAAGCAGCAUGGAAUACCAGUUAGGAAUUUGAAUUUGUUUCGUUGUUUGUUAUUUCCGCAAUCUAACAGCGCUGGGGACUCGAGCUUGCGAGGCAGGCACUCUAUGUGAUGGGCUAUAUUGCCAGCACCAGUUAGGAAUUUUGGAAACAGAAGUUAUAUUUUUUCACCUUCUUCCCUUUCCUAGAGUCAAAGAGGGCUUUAUGACCUUGUGAGUCUCAAACUAUCUUGGUGGACUUAUACUCUGGGAUGAAAUCAUUGUUUCUUUGAAAUGGAAAUGAUAGAUCAGUUUGUCAACAAUAUUUGUCAGAGGCCACAUUACAGCCAGGUCUUUCAGGAGAUUUGUUCAAGUUAAGUGAAAGUUAGGUAUUUGUAAAUGACAUUAUAUUUUAAAUAGUGUAGGGGAGUAUCUAAUACAGGAAGUCUGGUUUCAGGAUAUCCACCUAAACCAUCAGAUUGUUGAAUUCUGAGUUUGCACGCUCUCUUACUGCUUUUUUUUGUCUGCUACCUUCUCCUGACUUUAUAUUGGCCUGGUUUUCCCCCUUUACCUGCUAGAGUUUCUGUUUGCUGCGAUUAUAGUUUGUGCUUUGUUUGUCUUACUGUGGUAGUGAUUCAAGUUCUCUCUCCAUGACCUGUGUGUUCUGAAACAUAACACAAAUAGGCUCUCUUUAUCUUUAUUCUAUCAAUCUUUAAUCUGUCAAUAAACUAGUCGGUCAUGGACAAUCCUGGUCCUAUCACAUGUGUCUUGUGGGUAGGGACUGACAUUACAUUGUAUAAUCAUGGCUGUCUGGGCUGAUUCAUUGGAUGAGAUUAAGGGAAAGGUGGUUUUCAGAGACAGAGGUUGUGGCUAGAGCAGGUACCCAGGGAUAUAUCUGCCAUCAGAAACAUUGAACUAUUUAGUGGAAAGUUCUUUGAUAGAUGUGGCAGAAUAGUUGAUUAUUUUCUUUUUUUCUGGAAUAAGAAUAACUACCUUUUCCCUUCUUUGCAUAUAAAUUAUGUGUUGUUACCAGCAGAGGCAUGAUGAGGGUAGAGUUGUUGGAAGCACAGACUGAUGUUAUCAAAAUUCCCUAUGGACCCAGGGCAGGAACAGGAGAGGAAACAGAUUUCUUUUUUUAAAGUUUAAUUAGGAAAUUUGCAACUUUUCUUAGGUUUCACAAUUUAAGUACCAAAAAUUCAUGGAUUUAAUUCUUGUUUUAGUAACUAUCAAAUACUUCAACAAACCCACCUGGUUCUACCUCAAAUAUAGGCUGAAUACGAUUGUGUCUCAUCAAAACCACUGACUAUGUUAUUUCUUCACUUAGAUCUUCCAAUGCCUAUCUAUACAAUUAGGCUAAUUCCUAACUUUUUAAUGGUACAAAAGAGUUUGCUUGAUCCAACCUCAGCCUAUCUCCCAGACUUUACCUCCUAUACUUUCAACUUAAUGUAAGAACUAAACAAUCAAAUUAUUAGAAAAAAAAAAAAUGGGAGUAAACCUUUGUGACUUUGGGUUAAACAGUAGUUC